This 497-nucleotide ribosomal RNA is filed under the name uncultured bacterium. RNAcentral describes it as "partial 16S ribosomal RNA". It matches the Rfam family "Bacterial small subunit ribosomal RNA", at positions 28 to 507 of the family's 1533-position model. The record is from RNAcentral.
GAUGAACGCUGGCGGUGUGCCUAAUACAUGCAAGUCGAGCGAACGGACGAGAAGCUUGCUUUUCUGAUGUUAGCGGCGGACGGGUGAGUAACACGUGGAUAACCUUCCUCUUAGACUGGGAUAACUUCGGGAAACCGGUGAUAAUACCGGAUAAUAUUUUGAACGGCAUGGAUCAAAAGUGAAAGACGGUCUUGCUGUCACUUAUAGAUGGAUCCGCGCUGCAUUAGCUAGUUGGUAAGGUAACGGCUUACCAAGGCAACGAUGCAUAGCCGACCUGAGAGGGUGAUCAGCCACACUGGAACUGAGACACGGUCCAGACUCCUACGGGAGGCAGCAGUAGGGAAUCUUCCGCAAUGGGCGAAAGCCUGACGGAGCAACGCCGCGUGAGUGAUGAAGGUCUUCGGAUCGUAAAACUCUGUUAUUAGGGAAGAACAUAUGUGUAAGUAACUGUGCACAUCUUGACGGUACCUAAUCAGAAAGCCACGGCUAACUACGUG